AAAGGACUGGGAAAGGCCGCAUGCCUUUGACUCAUAUGAACAUGAACAGCUCUUAUUAUUAUUCAGUCUAUAAAUACCAUACAAUCCCUCAUAUACCAUACUACAAUCAUUUUCUCUAUAAAGAAGGCAAGAAUUUCAAAGAAGAGUUUAAGUAGAAAUCAUGAGAUAUGAGAAGAUGGUGGGAGGAAGGUACAGUAUUAAAAUAGGGUCUCUGAUGGAAUGGAAGUAAAUAAGAAUAUGUCUGUUUGAGACGGCCGAAUAUGCAGUCCACAGCCUUUUUUUCCCUUCCUGCCAUCAUCUUUUCUUAUCUCAAUAUUAAAUGCUUCCCUUGUUUACAGCGAAUAAUUACUACCCUUUUGUAUGAAAUUGUUGCAGACUAUUUUUAAUUCAGGAUGGAAUUUGAAUUGUUUGGCAUCUAAAUCAGUGGACGUUUUGGAAUGUAAAUUUCAAAGGAUGUUUGAGAAUGUAUUGGCCGUUUUAUUUAAGCUUAGUGAUUGUUUGGGAUUUGUAUACAAAAAGAUUUGAAUGAUGGAUCAGGUUUUGGGUGGAUGAAGGUUAUUUUUAGUAUCAUUUAUUUCCAUGGUUCAAUUGAAUAGAAAAGAUUGUAAAGAAAGUUAUAAAUAGAUUUGAAUGGUGGAUUAGGUUUUGGGUGGAUGAA
Long non-coding RNA from Cryptomeria japonica (Japanese cedar), 658 nucleotides. RefSeq lists it as uncharacterized. The transcript has 2 exons. The record is from RefSeq and is a predicted model, not a curated record. Lineage: Eukaryota; Viridiplantae; Streptophyta; Pinopsida; Cupressales; Cupressaceae.